UACGUAGGUCCCGAGCGUUGUCCGGAUUUAUUGGGCGUAAAGCGAGCGCAGGUGGUUUAUUAAGUCUGGUGUAAAAGGCAGUGGCUCAACCAUUGUAUGCAUUGGAAACUGGUAGACUUGAGUGCAGGAGAGGAGGGUGGAAUUCCAUGUGUAGCGGUGAAAUGCGUAGAUAUAUGGAGGAACACCGGUGGCGAAAGCGGCUCUCUGGACGAUAACUGACGUUGAGGCACGAAAGUGUGGGGAGCAAACAGG
RNAcentral lists this ribosomal RNA (252 nucleotides) under uncultured bacterium. Its description in RNAcentral is "partial 16S ribosomal RNA". It matches the Rfam family "Bacterial small subunit ribosomal RNA", at positions 524 to 776 of the family's 1533-position model. The record is from RNAcentral.